RNAcentral lists this ribosomal RNA (497 nucleotides) under uncultured bacterium. RNAcentral's name for it is "partial 16S ribosomal RNA". It matches the Rfam family "Bacterial small subunit ribosomal RNA", at positions 28 to 507 of the family's 1533-position model. The record is from RNAcentral.
GACGAACGCUGGCGGCGUGCCUAAUACAUGCAAGUAGAACGCUGAAGAGAGGAGCUUGCUCUUCUUGGAUGAGUUGCGAACGGGUGAGUAACGCGUAGGUAACCUGCCUGGUAGCGGGGGAUAACUAUUGGAAACGAUAGCUAAUACCGCAUAAAAUGGAUUAUCGCAUGAUAAUCCAUUGAAAGGUGCAAAUGCAUCACUACCAGAUGGACCUGCGUUGUAUUAGCUAGUUGGUGGGGUAACGGCUCACCAAGGCGACGAUACAUAGCCGACCUGAGAGGGUGAUCGGCCACAAUGGGACUGGGACAAGGCCCAGACUCCUACGGGAGGCAGCAGUAGGGAAUCUUCGGCAAUGGACGGAAGUCUGACCGAGCAACGCCGCGUGAGUGAAGAAGGUUUUCGGAUCGUAAAGCUCUGUUGUAAGAGAAGAACGAGUGUGAGAGUGGAAAGUUCACACUGUGACGGUAUCUUACCAGAAAGGGACGGCUAACUACGUG